GAUGAACGCUGGCGGCGUGCCUAAUACAUGCAAGUCGAGCGAACAGAUGAGGAGCUUGCUCCUCUGACGUUAGCGGCGGACGGGUGAGUAACACGUGGAUAACCUACCUAUAAGACUGGGAUAACUUCGGGAAACCGGAGCUAAUACCGGAUAAUAUAUUGAACCGCAUGGUUCAAUAGAGAAAGACGGUUUUGCUGUCACUAAUAGAUGGAUCCGCGCCGCAUUAGCUAGUUGGUAAGGUAACGGCUUACCAAGGCAACGAUGCGUAGCCGACCUGAGAGGGUGAUCGGCCACACUGGAACUGAGACACGGUCCAGACUCCUACGGGAGGCAGCAGUAGGGAAUCUUCCGCAAUGGGCGAAAGCCUGACGGAGCAACGCCGCGUGAGUGAUGAAGGUCUUCGGAUCGUAAAACUCUGUUAUUAGGGAAGAACAAAUGUGUAAGUAACUAUGCACGUCUUGACGGUACCUAAACAGAAAGCCACGGCUAACUACGUG
This 497-nucleotide ribosomal RNA is filed under the name uncultured bacterium. RNAcentral describes it as "partial 16S ribosomal RNA". It matches the Rfam family "Bacterial small subunit ribosomal RNA", at positions 28 to 507 of the family's 1533-position model. The record is from RNAcentral.